Molecule: long non-coding RNA, 170 nt
Organism: Neopelma chrysocephalum (saffron-crested tyrant-manakin)
Lineage: Eukaryota; Metazoa; Chordata; Aves; Passeriformes; Pipridae
Exons: 2
Source: RefSeq, a predicted model, not a curated record
CAACCCUCAGCAAUGGAUUAUCCAGAGGAGACUGGGAGACUUCGAUGGUCCCAGACCAUGCUUCCAGGGUGAUCCAGUAGCCCCAAAAAGCUUUUCUCUUUUUUGACUUCAGUGAUUUGAAGUGGAAUGGCACACAGAAAUACAGAAUCAAGCCAUUUUAUUCUCGCCCA